Brachypodium distachyon (stiff brome) is the source of this 1408-nucleotide long non-coding RNA. RefSeq lists it as uncharacterized. The record is from RefSeq and is a predicted model, not a curated record. Lineage: Eukaryota; Viridiplantae; Streptophyta; Magnoliopsida; Poales; Poaceae. The transcript is spliced from 3 exons.
CUAAAAAAGUAAAGAGGAAAAAAACACAAAGAAAUUCCGCUCCUCCCUCCCUCUCCCUCCCACCGACCGCCGUCUCGCCUCGCCACCCCCGCCGAGCUUCGUGAACGAAUCCCGUCAAACUCCGCGCCACCCUCGACUCUCUACUAUCGCACGCGCACCGUGAAGGAAGGAUAAGCCCCGCGGGCCGGCGGUCUCCACCUCGCCGUUUCAGUCGCUACGGCCGUGGCAGAAGGCGGCGGCGGAGGCGCGUGCGGUGACCCUCCCCACCUAUCCCGAUCCUCCGGUCCCCGCGUGCUUCUCCGGUGACUCACCACGGAAAUUUAAUGGGAAAGAAGAAUUACCAGGACCGCAAGGGGGCCAAAUACAAAUAUAGCAGUGGUUCGCUGGAUAUAUGCACCCGAGAUGAAGUUCAUCAGGACAGCAAAGAACGACACGAAGCCGACCAGAUAGGUGAUCGCAGAUGACGAGGUCACAAUAUCCAGAUGCAUUAUCCGAUGGAAAUAGGCCACAAUGGUGAGGUUUGCGCUGCUAGGGCAGCUUCGCAGCACAGCCAAAACUGCAAAUGAACAUUAAAUUCAAUUCCAACAGUUUGUGUUUUGCUGGUUCAAUAUGGAUGCAACUCUGUUAUUCCAGAAUCAAGAGGAACAGAUACGUCUGUGGUUAGUUGAAACCAUCCAUGAGAAUCGUUUAGUUUACCCACCUGCUGUAAAUGACCUUACGCAGUGGGGCCCAGACUUUGCUUGGCCAAAACUGACUUGCUGGUAAUAACAUUUCAGUUUGUCUUAUGUCACAAACGUCUUAUCAACCAGGUAUUCAGUGUGGAGUUAUUUUGCACUUGCAGCAUUCAGGUAUGGGAGCUCUCUGGAACUCUACAAAUUGUUCGCUGGUGCAGAGUCAAAAUUUUGUGUCAGACUUGUACCUUUGCCCGAAACCCAAAAUAUUAAAAAUUUGCAGUUGCAUGGAUGAUCUGUAUUUAUCAGAUGCGGUGUCUUUUGGUUGUAUUUCAACAUUUAUGAUGUCAAAGUGCUUCAUGCUUCUCUAGCUGCAUUGCACUAAUCACAAGGCCUUUUUUUUUCAGACCAAGUGUAGGAUAAAUGUCAAAGACUCUUUGAUCAGCUAUGAAGAAGAGAAAGAACAUCGUUUUGGCAGAUGUGUCUUUGCUAGCUAAGACGAGAAGAGUAGGAGAAAAUCCUGCCAGAUGUGUGCAAGUGAUGGGAAUCUUCUGAAAGUUACAAAGUAUUUUAUUAUGCAAGCUUGAUAUCUGGUGAUAUAUGAUCGGUUUUGUUUAGGACGAGAAGUGAAUCAAUUCGGUUAUAUAGUCCUGGAGGCUGGAAUCGGAAACAGAAUAUUUCAGAUGAUCACGAACAUGAGUGCUGUCAUUUUCCAUAUAAUUUUUUGAGUCUCCUUA